Molecule: ribosomal RNA, 490 nt
Filed under: uncultured bacterium
Lineage: Bacteria
Description: bacterial SSU rRNA
Rfam family: Bacterial small subunit ribosomal RNA
Source: RNAcentral
AUUGAACGCUGGCGGCAUGCCUUACACAUGCAAGUCGAACGGCAGCAUGGAAGAGCUUGCUCUUCUGAUGGCGAGUGGCGAACGGGUGAGUAAAGCAUCGGAACGUACCGUGUAAUGGGGGAUAACGUAGCGAAAGUUACGCUAAUACCGCAUACGACCUGAGGGUGAAAGCAGGGGAUCGCAAGACCUUGCGUUAUACGAGCGGCCGAUGUCAGAUUAGCUAGUUGGUAGGGUAAAGGCCUACCAAGGCGACGAUCUGUAGCUGGUCUGAGAGGACGACCAGCCACACUGGGACUGAGACACGGCCCAGACUCCUACGGGAGGCAGCAGUGGGGAAUUUUGGACAAUGGGGGAAACCCUGAUCCAGCCAUGCCGCGUGCAGGAUGAAGGCCUUCGGGUUGUAAACUGCUUUUGUACAGAACGAAAAGGUUUCUAUUAAUACUAGGAGCUCAUGACGGUACUGUAAGAAUAAGCACCGGCUAACUACGUG